Molecule: ribosomal RNA, 253 nt
Filed under: uncultured bacterium
Lineage: Bacteria
Description: partial 16S ribosomal RNA
Rfam family: Bacterial small subunit ribosomal RNA
Source: RNAcentral
GACGUAGGUGGCGAGCGUUGUCCGGAAUUACUGGGCGUAAAGGGCGUGUAGGCGGCCUGUUAAGUCAGGCGUGAAAGCCCUGGGCUUAACCCAGGGACUGCGUUUGAAACUGAUGGGCUUGAGGACGGGAGAGGGAAGUGGAACUCCGUGUGUAGCGGUGAAAUGCGUAGAUAUACGGAAGAACACCAGUGGCGAAGGCGGCUUCCUGGACCGUCCCUGACGCUGAGGCGCGAAAGCCAGGGGAGCGAACGGG